AGGGUUUGAUCAUGGCUCAGAUUGAACGCUGGCGGCAGGCCUAACACAUGCAAGUCGAGCGGUAGAGAGAAGCUUGCUUCUCUUGAGAGCGGCGGACGGGUGAGUAAUGCCUAGGAAUCUGCCUGGUAGUGGGGGAUAACGUUCGGAAACGGACGCUAAUACCGCAUACGUCCUACGGGAGAAAGCAGGGGACCUUCGGGCCUUGCGCUAUCAGAUGAGCCUAGGUCGGAUUAGCUAGUUGGCGAGGUAAUGGCUCACCAAGGCGACGAUCCGUAACUGGUCUGAGAGGAUGAUCAGUCACACUGGAACUGAGACACGGUCCAGACUCCUACGGGAGGCAGCAGUGGGGAAUAUUGGACAAUGGGCGAAAGCCUGAUCCAGCCAUGCCGCGUGUGUGAAGAAGGACUUCGGAUUGUAAAGCACUUUAAGUUGGGAGGAAGGGUUGUAGAUUAAUACUCUGCAAUUUUGACGUUACCGACAGAAUAAGCACCGGCUAACUCUGUGCCAGCAGCCGCGGUAAUACAGAGGGUGCAAGCGUUAAUCGGAAUUACUGGGCGUAAAGCGCGCGUAGGUGGUUUGUUAAGUUGGAUGUGAAAUCCCCGGGCUCAACCUGGGAACUGCAUUCAAAACUGACUGACUAGAGUAUGGUAGAGGGUGGUGGAAUUUCCUGUGUAGCGGUGAAAUGCGUAGAUAUAGGAAGGAACACCAGUGGCGAAGGCGACCACCUGGACUAAUACUGACACUGAGGUGCGAAAGCGUGGGGAGCAACAGGAUUAGAUACCCUGUAGUCCACGCCGUAACGAUGUCAACUAGCCGUUGGAAGCCUUGAGCUUUUAGUGCGCAGCUAACGCAUUAAGUUGACCGCCU
This 867-nucleotide ribosomal RNA is filed under the name uncultured Gammaproteobacteria bacterium. RNAcentral's name for it is "bacterial SSU rRNA". It matches the Rfam family "Bacterial small subunit ribosomal RNA", at positions 9 to 873 of the family's 1533-position model. The record is from RNAcentral. Lineage: Bacteria; Pseudomonadati; Pseudomonadota; Gammaproteobacteria.